GAUGAACGCUGGCGGCGUGCCUAAUACAUGCAAGUCGAGCGAACGGACGAGAAGCUUGCUUCUCUGAUGUUAGCGGCGGACGGGUGAGUAACACGUGGAUAACCUACCUAUAAGACUGGGAUAACUUCGGGAAACCGUAGCUAAUACCGGAUAAUAUUUUGAACCGCAUGGUUCAAAAGUGAAAGACGGUCUUGCUGUCACUUAUAGAUGGAUCCGCGCUGCAUUAGCUAGUUGGUAAGGUAACGGCUUACCAAGGCAACGAUGCAUAGCCGACCUGAGAGAGUGGUCGGCCACACUGGAACGGAGACACGGUCCAGACUCCUACGGGAGGCAGCAGUAGGGAAUCUUACGCAAUGGGCGAAAGCCUGACGGAGCAACGCCGCGUGAGUGAUGAAGGUCUUCGGAUCGUAAAACUCUGUUAUUAGGGAAGAACAUAUGUGUAAGUAACUGUGCACAUCUUGACGGUACCUAAUCAGAAAGCCACGGCUAACUACGUG
This 497-nucleotide ribosomal RNA is filed under the name uncultured bacterium. RNAcentral's name for it is "partial 16S ribosomal RNA". It matches the Rfam family "Bacterial small subunit ribosomal RNA", at positions 28 to 507 of the family's 1533-position model. The record is from RNAcentral.